UCCUGGCUCAGAGUGAACGCUGGCGGUAGGCUUAACACAUGCAAGUCGAACGGCAGCACAGUAAGAGCUUGCUCUUAUGGGUGGCGAGUGGCGGACGGGUGAGGAAUACAUCGGAAUCUACCUUUUCGUGGGGGAUAACGUAGGGAAACUUACGCUAAUACCGCAUACGACCUUCGGGUGAAAGCAGGGGACCUUCGGGCCUUGCGCGGAUAGAUGAGCCGAUGUCGGAUUAGCUAGUUGGCGGGGUAAAGGCCCACCAAGGCGACGAUCCGUAGCUGGUCUGAGAGGAUGAUCAGCCACACUGGAACUGAGACACGGUCCAGACUCCUACGGGAGGCAGCAGUGGGGAAUAUUGGACAAUGGGCGCAAGCCNNAUCCAGCCAUACCGCGUGGGUGAAGAAGGCCUUCGGANNNUANGUUGUAAAGCCCUUUUGUUGGGAAAGAAAAGCAGUCGGCNAAUACCCGGUUGUUCUGACGGUACCCAAAGAAUAAGCACCGGCUAACUUCGUGCCAGCAGCC
Molecule: ribosomal RNA, 519 nt
Filed under: Stenotrophomonas sp.
Lineage: Bacteria; Pseudomonadati; Pseudomonadota; Gammaproteobacteria; Lysobacterales; Lysobacteraceae
Description: bacterial SSU rRNA
Rfam family: Bacterial small subunit ribosomal RNA
Source: RNAcentral